This is a long non-coding RNA of Haliotis rubra (blacklip abalone), 238 nucleotides long. RefSeq lists it as uncharacterized. The transcript is spliced from 3 exons. The record is from RefSeq and is a predicted model, not a curated record. Lineage: Eukaryota; Metazoa; Mollusca; Gastropoda; Lepetellida; Haliotidae.
AGUGAGUGAGUGAGUGAGAGUGUUGAGUUUUACGCCGCACUCAGCAAUAUUCCAGCUAUGUGGCGGCGGUCAGUAAACAAUCGAGCCUGGGCCACCACGUCCAGUGAUCAACAGCAUGAGCAUCGAUCUACGCAACUGGGAUACAAUGACAUGUGUCAACCAAGUAAGCGAGCCUGACCACCCGAUCCCGUUCGUCUCCUCUUACCAUAAGCAUCGUUUGCUGGAGACCAGGUCUAAC